GAUGAACGCUGGCGGCGUGCCUAAUACAUGCAAGUCGAGCGAACAGACGAGGAGCUUGCUCCUCUGACGUUAGCGGCGGACGGGUGAGUAACACGUGGAUAACCUACCUAUAAGACUGGGAUAACUUCGGGAAACCGGAGCUAAUACCGGAUAAUAUAUUGAACCGCAUGGUUCAAUAGUGAAAGACGGUUUUGCUGUCACUUAUAGAUGGUUCCUCGCCGCAUUAGCUAGUUGGUAAGGUAACGGCUUACCAAGGCAACGAUGCGUAGCCGACCUGAGAGGGUGAUCGGCCACACUGGAACUGGGACACGGUCCAGACUCCUACGGGAGGCAGCAGUAGGGAAUCUUCCGCAAUGGGCGAAAGCCUGACGGAGCAACGCCGCGUGAGUGAUGAAGGUCUUCGGAUCGUAAAACUCUGUUAUUAGGGAAGAACAAAUGUGUAAGUAACUAUGCACGUCUUGACGGUACCUAAUCAGAAAGCCACGGCUAACUACGUG
This 497-nucleotide ribosomal RNA is filed under the name uncultured bacterium. RNAcentral's name for it is "partial 16S ribosomal RNA". It matches the Rfam family "Bacterial small subunit ribosomal RNA", at positions 28 to 507 of the family's 1533-position model. The record is from RNAcentral.